This 253-nucleotide ribosomal RNA is filed under the name uncultured bacterium. RNAcentral describes it as "partial 16S ribosomal RNA". It matches the Rfam family "Bacterial small subunit ribosomal RNA", at positions 524 to 776 of the family's 1533-position model. The record is from RNAcentral.
UACGUAGGGUGCGAGCGUUGUUCGGAAUUACUGGGCGUAAAGCGUGCGCAGGCGGCUUUGCAAGACAGAUGUGAAAUCCCCGGGCUCAACCUGGGAACUGCAUUUGUGACUGCAAGGCUAGAGUACGGCAGAGGGGGAUGGAAUUCCGCGUGUAGCAGUGAAAUGCGUAGAUAUGCGGAGGAACACCAAUGGCGAAGGCAAUCCCCUGGGCCUGUACUGACGCUCAUGCACGAAAGCGUGGGGAGCAAACAGG